AUGGAUCAACUAAUGGAAAGAUAUUACAUAGCUAUUCACCUUGCUACUGUCAUGUCAAUCAAAUAUAGGUUUCCCACGUCAUGGAGUUGUCCUCGUUUUUUACCCAUGCCGAUAGACCCUGUAGUCAUUUGCUCCUCCCCCACUGCUCUAAUGUUCAAGGUCCUCCUAUACACUCGCUUCUCGCAUUCUUUCAAGUCAUUUGAAACUCCAGGAGUUGGCAUAUACUUUCAAGCUAAAAUUGAUACUCGGUUAUGUUACAUGAAAAUGCCAUCCAUUCUUCAUGCUUGUUUAAUGCACAGUUGUUAG
RNAcentral lists this ribosomal RNA (306 nucleotides) under Triticum aestivum (bread wheat). RNAcentral's name for it is "partial small subunit ribosomal RNA". The record is from RNAcentral. Lineage: Eukaryota; Viridiplantae; Streptophyta; Magnoliopsida; Poales; Poaceae.